AUGCAUGUCUAAGUAUAAGCAAUUAUACCGUGAAACUGCGAAUGGCUCAUUAAAUCAGUUAUCGUUUAUUUGAUAGUACCUUUACUACAUGGACAACUGUGGUAAUUCUAGAGCUAAUACAUGCUAAAAACCUCGACUUCGGAAGGGGUGUAUUUAUUAGAUAAAAAACCAAUGCCCUCCGGGGCUCCUUGGUGAUUCAUAAUAACUUAACGAAUCGCAUGACCUUGCGUCGGCGAUGGUUCAUUCAAAUUUCUGCCCUAUCAACUUUCGAUGGUAGGAUAGUGGCCUACCAUGGUUUCAACGGGUAACGGGGAAUUAGGGUUCUAUUCCGGAGAGGGAGCCUGAGAAACGGCUACCACAUCUAAGGAAGGCAGCAGGCGCGCAAAUUAUCCAAUGCCAAUACGGCGAGAUAGUGACAAUAAAUACUGAUACCGGGCUCUUUUGGGUCUGGUAAUUGGAAUGAGUACAAUUUAAAUCCCUUAACGAGGAACAAUUGGAGGGCAAGUCUGGUGCCAGCAGCCGCGGUAAUUCCAGCUCCAAUAGCGUAUAUUAAAGUUGUUGCAGUUAAAAAGCUCGUAGUUGAACCUUGGAUCCGGCCGGUUGGUCCGCCUCAUCGCGUGUACUGACUCGGAAGGAUCUUUCUUUCUGGGGAAACCGAUGGCCUUCAGUGGUCGUCGCGGGGAACCAGGACUUUUACUUUGAAAAAAUUAGAGUGUUCAAAGCAGGCCUUUGCUCGAAUACAUUAGCAUGGAAUAAUAGAAUAAGACGUGUGGUUUUAUUUUGUUGGUUUCUAAAACCGCCGUAAUGAUUAAUAGGGACAGUCGGGGAUGUCUGUAUUCUGUAGUCAGAGGUGAAAUUCUUGGAUCUACGGAAGACAAACUACUGCGAAAGCAUUCAUCAAGGAUGUUUUCAUUAAUCAGGGAACGAAAGUUAGGGGAUCGAAGACGAUCAGAUACCGUCGUAGUCUUAACCAUAAACUAUGCCGACUAGGGAUCGGACGGUGUUUUCAUUUUGACCCGUUCGGCACCUUACGAGAAAUCAAAGUGUUUGGGCUCUGGGGGGAAUAUGGUCGCAAGGCUGAAACUUAAAGAAAUUGACGGAAGGGCACCACAAGGCGUGGAGCCUGCGGCUUAAUUUGACUCAACACGGGGAAACUCACCAGGUCCAGACAUGCUUAGGAUUGACAGAUUGAGAGCUCUUUCUUGAUUGUAUGGGUGGUGGUGCAUGGCCGUUCUUAGUUGGUGGAGUGAUUUGUCUGCUUAAUUGCGUUAACGAACGAGACCUUAACUUACUAAAUAGCCCGACUGGCAAUGCCGGCUGUUGGCUUCUUAGAAGGACUAUCGGCUCAAGCCGAUGGAAGUUUGAGGCAAUAACAGGUCUGUGAUGCCCUUAGAUGUCCUGGGCCGCACGCGCGCUACACUGACAGAGCCAACGAGUACAUCACCUUGGCCGAGAGGUCUGGGUAAUCUUGUUAAACUCUGUCGUGCUGGGGAUAGAGCAUUGCAAUUAUUGCUCUUCAACGAGGAAUGCCUAGUAAGCGCGAGUCAUCAGCUCGUGCUGAUUACGUCCCUGCCCUUUGUACACACCGCCCGUCGCUACUACCGAUUGAAUGGCUCAGUGAGGCCUCCGGACUGGCUUAGAGAGGGCGGCAACGUCCACUCAGAGCCGGAAAGCUGGUCAAACUGUGUCAUUUAGAGGAA
Molecule: ribosomal RNA, 1700 nt
Filed under: Corynelia africana
Lineage: Eukaryota; Fungi; Ascomycota; Eurotiomycetes; Coryneliales; Coryneliaceae
Description: SSU rRNA
Rfam family: Eukaryotic small subunit ribosomal RNA
Source: RNAcentral